GCGGGCUUAGCUCAGUUGGGAGAGCGUCAGACUGAAGUUACACUUCGGACAUCAAAUCUGAAGGUCGUGUGUUCGAUCCACACAGACCGCA
This is a transfer RNA of Gaeumannomyces graminis, 91 nucleotides long. It matches the Rfam family "tRNA". Rfam says of the family: Transfer RNA (tRNA) molecules are approximately 80 nucleotides in length. NCBI's taxonomy places the organism in Eukaryota, Fungi, Ascomycota, Sordariomycetes, Magnaporthales, Magnaporthaceae. The record is from Rfam.